This 492-nucleotide ribosomal RNA is filed under the name uncultured bacterium. RNAcentral describes it as "partial 16S ribosomal RNA". It matches the Rfam family "Bacterial small subunit ribosomal RNA", at positions 29 to 507 of the family's 1533-position model. The record is from RNAcentral.
AGUGAACGCUGGCGGUAGGCCUAACACAUGCAAGUCGAACGGCAGCACAGUAAGAGCUUGCUCUUACGGGUGGCGAGUGGCGGACGGGUGAGGAAUACAUCGGAAUCUACUUUUUCGUGGGGGAUAACGUAGGGAAACUUACGCUAAUACCGCAUACGACCUACGGGUGAAAGCAGGGGAUCUUCGGACCUUGCGCGAUUGAAUGAGCCGAUGUCGGAUUAGCUAGUUGGCGGGGUAAAGGCCCACCAAGGCGACGAUCCGUAGCUGGUCUGAGAGGAUGAUCAGCCACACUGGGACUGAGACACGGUCCAGGCUCCUACGGGAGGCAGCAGUGGGGAAUAGUGGAAAAUGGGCGCAAGCCUGAUCCAGCCAUACCGCGUGGGUGAAGAAGGCCUUCGGGUUGUAAAGCCCUUUUGUUGGGAAAGAAAAGCAGCAGGUUAAUACCCCGCUGUUCUGACGGUACCCAAAGAAUAAGCACCGGCUAACUUCGUG